Podarcis lilfordi (Lilford's wall lizard) is the source of this 73-nucleotide non-coding RNA. NCBI's taxonomy places the organism in Eukaryota, Metazoa, Chordata, Lepidosauria, Squamata, Lacertidae. The record is from the annotation of a GenBank genome assembly.
UUACUAGCUCAUUCAGUAGAGCAUGAGUCUCUUAAUUCCAGGGUCGUGGGUUUGAGUCCCACAUUGGGCAAAA